AGUAGAGUAAGCUAAAUGUUAAGCUCUUGGGCUCAUACCCCAAUAAUGGAAGGAUAAAAACCUCCCUCUACUU
This 73-nucleotide transfer RNA is filed under the name Tripneustes gratilla (Hawaiian sea urchin). RNAcentral describes it as "tRNA-Met". It matches the Rfam family "tRNA". From Rfam's summary of the family: Transfer RNA (tRNA) molecules are approximately 80 nucleotides in length. RNAcentral also lists the same sequence under 1 other name. Lineage: Eukaryota; Metazoa; Echinodermata; Echinoidea; Temnopleuroida; Toxopneustidae. The record is from RNAcentral.